Molecule: transfer RNA, 72 nt
Filed under: Salinibacillus xinjiangensis
Lineage: Bacteria; Bacillati; Bacillota; Bacilli; Caryophanales; Bacillaceae
Description: tRNA-Ile
Source: RNAcentral
GGAGAAGUUAUCUGGCCAAAUGGGUGGCCCACUGCAUAUGGCAGUGCGAGGGUUCAAUUCCCUCCUUCUCCA